This is a long non-coding RNA of Notothenia coriiceps (black rockcod), 405 nucleotides long. RefSeq lists it as uncharacterized. The transcript has 3 exons. The record is from RefSeq and is a predicted model, not a curated record. NCBI's taxonomy places the organism in Eukaryota, Metazoa, Chordata, Actinopteri, Perciformes, Nototheniidae.
GAGUUCAGUUGCGGGCAGAACCAAACUAUCCCUUGGAGCGGAAAACUGCAACUUUGAAACCUGCUUCGCUGUGUUUUCUAAAUGUGAUGUUCUUUCCCUCAGUCACAGUCCAGGGACAACACACCUUUCAUAGUGAGUGUCCAGAAAAGUAAGUGGGACAUUUCACGCUCCAUGAGGUACAACCAGGACGCUCAGAGGGAGGAAGACCAGCGUCGCAUGGAGGAGAUCAUCGGCUACCUGACCAAGAUGAGGUUUGGAGAGCAGGAGCAGAGCAGAUCUAAAGACCCUAAAGAAGCAAGUACCUGUUCACAAGCACAGGACUUUGGAAAUAUAAUGAAAUGAUUGGUGUAGAGCUGUCAGCCCUGCUGCCCUAGUUUGUACAGCUGCCUGACGCCAGAUUGUGUG